This 71-nucleotide transfer RNA is filed under the name Candidatus Woesearchaeota archaeon. Its description in RNAcentral is "tRNA-Gly". It matches the Rfam family "tRNA". From Rfam's summary of the family: Transfer RNA (tRNA) molecules are approximately 80 nucleotides in length. Lineage: Archaea; Nanobdellati; Candidatus Woesearchaeota. The record is from RNAcentral.
GCGCCGGUGGUCUAACGGCAUGACUGCGGCCUUCCAAGCCGCCUAUCUGGGUUCGAAUCCCGGCCGGCGCA